RNAcentral lists this ribosomal RNA (811 nucleotides) under uncultured bacterium. Its description in RNAcentral is "bacterial SSU rRNA". It matches the Rfam family "Bacterial small subunit ribosomal RNA", at positions 8 to 808 of the family's 1533-position model. The record is from RNAcentral.
AGAGUUUGAUCCUGGCUCAGGAUGAACGCUAGCUACAGGCUUAACACAUGCAAGUCGAGGGGCAGCAUCAUCAAAGCUUGCUUUGAUGGAUGGCGACCGGCGCACGGGUGAGUAACACGUAUCCAACCUGCCAACAACACUGGGGUAGCCUUUCGAAAGAAAGAUUAAUACCGGAUGGCAUAGUUUUCCCGCAUGGGAUAAUUAUUAAAGAAUUUCGGUUGUCGAUGGGGAUGCGUUCCAUUAGGCAGUUGGCGGGGUAACGGCCCACCAAACCAACGAUGGAUAGGGGUUCUGAGAGGAAGGUCCCCCACAUUGGAACUGAGACACGGUCCAAACUCCUACGGGAGGCAGCAGUGAGGAAUAUUGGUCAAUGGACGAGAGUCUGAACCAGCCAAGUAGCGUGAAGGAUGACUGCCCUAUGGGUUGUAAACUUCUUUUAUACGGGAAUAAAGUUAGCCACGUGUGGCUUUUUGUAUGUACCGUAUGAAUAAAGAUCGGCUAACUCCGUGCCAGCAGCCGCGGUAAUACGGAGGAUCCGAGCGUUAUCCGGAUUUAUUGGGUUUAAAGGGAGCGUAGGCGGGUUGUUAAGUCAGUUGUGAAAGUUUGCGGCUCAACCGUAAAAUUGCAGUUGAUACUGGCGACCUUGAGUGCAACAGAGGUAGGCGGAAUUCGUGGUGUAGCGGUGAAAUGCUUAGAUAUCACGAAGAACUCCGAUUGCGAAGGCAGCUUACUGGAUUGUAACUGACGCUGAUGCUCGACAAGUGUGGGUAUCAAACAGGAUUAGAUACCCUGGUAGUCCACACAGUAAACG